Molecule: long non-coding RNA, 1172 nt
Filed under: Salmo salar (Atlantic salmon)
Lineage: Eukaryota; Metazoa; Chordata; Actinopteri; Salmoniformes; Salmonidae
Description: lncRNA (ENSSSAG00000117910.1)
Source: RNAcentral
UGUCUGGCCAGGCUGGGGACGAGGACAGGAAGGAGAAGGAUCCAAUCAGUGAUUUCCUCAGUGUGGCUCGUAUUGAAGCCUCUGGGUCAGGACCGGACACCUCUACUACUGAUGGCCCUACAACGGAUCCUACUGUAGAGCCGGACACGGAGCAGAAAGACGAGAAGGACGAGGAGGAGGAGGAAGAGGAGAGCAGGCCGUCUAUGGAUCUGUUCAAAGCCAUCUUCGCCUGUUCAUCAGACGAGAAGUCUUCCUCUUCUUCAGAAGGAGAGAGUGAGGAGGAGGAGGAGGAGGAAGGUGUUCGGAGCAAGGCUGGGACCGGGCCUCAGAUAUCUAACCAGCUGAACGUCAACACAACCCGACCUGCUCUUCCUGUGUCGGCGACACCCAGCCAGCACCCAGACGUUCUGUUCAAAACGCCCAGUGGUCCUGCCCCUCCCCUCAGAACCAGGAAGUGGAAGAGGAGGAGUUUGGACCUCGGCUGCCUCCUCCUUCCUCUACAUUGACGGGGCGCCGUCCGUCCCCAACUCCCUCUGCUAAGGACGACAAACACAAGAAGAAGUGUAAGGAGAAGCACAAAGCCAAGAAACACGGCAAGCACAAGAAGGACAAAAAGAAGAAGAAGCACAAGAGGCACAAGCACAAAGGCAAGCAGAAGAAGAGCAGUAGGAAGGAGUCUUCAUCAUCAGGCAGCAGCUCAGAGGGGAGUGACGGGAACGGCCAGGAGGACGGAGAGGAGGGAGGAGGGGUGUCAACAGAAGAGCUGCUCAGAAGGUUGAAGAGCAUCCGUGGGAAGAAUCAGCAGUGAAUCUAUAAUCCGACAGACAGGAUCCAUCAUGUCCUCUAUGAGGAUGGAUACCUGGAUACCUGGAGACGGGAGUCAGGAACCAUUCUGUAUAUGGCAUUUAGGAAUUCCAAUAGCCCUGUACCGAUGCUGAUGAAAGAGGGGCUUACUUUACAUUUUAAAUUGUAAUUCUCAUAAGAUGUGAGUUUUUGCUGAUCAAUGUCUUGGGCUGAUAUGUUGAGAGAUAUUGAUUUGUUGCUAUCGUCUGUUAAUCAAUAAAAAAGUAGAUUUUUUUUGUUGUAAUCUGUCUCUGCAUUAUCAUCAUGCCAUUCCAGAUUGUCUGUGAUGUGCCACGUCUGGUGACAAGGCUCUGGAGUUGUUACGAUCC